UCCCUGGUGGCUAAGACGGUAAAGCAUCUGCCUACAAUGCGGGAGACCUGGGUUCAAUCCCUGGUUCGGGAA
Molecule: transfer RNA, 72 nt
Filed under: Capra hircus (goat)
Lineage: Eukaryota; Metazoa; Chordata; Mammalia; Artiodactyla; Bovidae
Also listed under: 1 other name
Rfam family: tRNA
About the family: Transfer RNA (tRNA) molecules are approximately 80 nucleotides in length. Their secondary structure includes four short double-helical elements and three loops (D, anti-codon, and T loops).
Source: Rfam by way of RNAcentral